Molecule: ribosomal RNA, 496 nt
Filed under: uncultured bacterium
Lineage: Bacteria
Description: bacterial SSU rRNA
Rfam family: Bacterial small subunit ribosomal RNA
Source: RNAcentral
AUUGAACGCUGGCGGCAUGCUUUACACAUGCAAGUCGAACGGUAACAGGGAGCUUGCUCCGCUGACGAGUGGCGAACGGGUGAGUAAUGCAUCGGAACGUGCCGUGUAAUGGGGGAUAACGUAGCGAAAGUUACGCUAAUACCGCAUACGCCCUGAGGGGGAAAGUGGGGGACCGCAAGGCCUCACGUUAUACGAGCGGCCGAUGUCGGAUUAGCUAGUUGGUGGGGUAAAGGCCUACCAAGGCGACGAUCCGUAGCGGGUCUGAGAGGAUGAUCCGCCACACUGGGACUGAGACACGGCCCAGACUCCUACGGGAGGCAGCAGUGGGGAAUUUUGGACAAUGGGGGCAACCCUGAUCCAGCCAUGCCGCGUGAGUGAAGAAGGCCUCGGUUGUAACCUACUUCUAGUAGGGAAGAAGACGAAAGUAGACGGUACCGUACAGAAGAAGACACCGGCUAACUACGUAGCCAGCAGCCGCGGUAAAGGACUACGUAGA